Molecule: ribosomal RNA, 201 nt
Filed under: uncultured bacterium
Lineage: Bacteria
Description: partial 16S ribosomal RNA
Rfam family: Bacterial small subunit ribosomal RNA
Source: RNAcentral
GUACUCUGNAACCCGAGUACAUGAAGCUGGAAUCGCUAGUAAUCGCGAAUCAGAAUGUCGCGGUGAAUACGUUCCCGGGUCUUGUACACACCGCCCGUCACACCAUGGGAGAUGGAUAUGCCCAAAGUCAGUGACCUAACCGCAAGGGAGGAGCUGCCUAAGGUGGAGCCAUUAACUGGGGUGAAGUCGUAACAAGGUAGC